RNAcentral lists this ribosomal RNA (468 nucleotides) under uncultured bacterium. RNAcentral describes it as "partial 16S ribosomal RNA". It matches the Rfam family "Bacterial small subunit ribosomal RNA", at positions 28 to 507 of the family's 1533-position model. The record is from RNAcentral.
GACGAACGCUGGCGGCGUGCUUAACACAUGCAAGUCGAACGGAAAGGCCCUGCUUUUGUGGGGUGCUCGAGUGGCGAACGGGUGAGUAACACGUGAGUAACCUGCCCUUGACUUUGGGAUAACUUCAGGAAACUGGGGCUAAUACCGGAUAGGAGCUCCUGCUGCAUGGUGGGGGUUGGAAAGUUUCGGCGGUUGGGGAUGGACUCGCGGCUUAUCAGCUUGUUGGUGGGGUAGUGGCUUACCAAGGCUUUGACGGGUAGCCGGCCUGAGAGGGUGACCGGCCACAUUGGGACUGAGAUACGGCCCAGACGCCUACGGGAGGCAGCAGUGGGGAAUAUGGCACAAUGGGCGGAAGCCUGAUGCAGCAACGCCGCGUGCGGGAUGACGGCCUUCGGGUUGUAAACCGCUUCCGCCUGUGACGAAGCGUGAGUGACGGUAAUGGGUAAAGAAGCACCGGCUAACUACGUG